Molecule: small nuclear RNA, 102 nt
Organism: Talpa occidentalis (Iberian mole)
Lineage: Eukaryota; Metazoa; Chordata; Mammalia; Eulipotyphla; Talpidae
Source: RefSeq, a predicted model, not a curated record
AUUGAUUAAUUAAAAUUUCCUUUUAGAUUGGAAACAGAGAGAAGAUUAGCGUGGCCCCUGCACAAGGAUGACAUGCAAAUUCUUGAAGUAUUACACAUUUUA